GAACAGACCUGGGUGUAUCUAUGUAUUUGGGAGCAUAAUGGAAAACUAUUUAACUGCCGAAUUCCCAUACAAUACCUGAGAGUUGCAGAAGUUGCUGGGGAGGCCAUACCAGUGGGAUGUGGAAAAGAUAGCUUUGACUACGUUGGAAGCGCCGAGAGCCAGAGGUUCCGACUUCCUUGCCAAGAGAGAAGAGAGGGAAAUCGCCUGACACUGUUUCAGCCUAUUCGAUGUGCUGCUGGGCAUCAUUCAGUAAAGGAAACACCUUUCUGAUCUGAUAUCGAAGAGUAUGGUGGAUGUGCUUCUAAUGACAAUCUAGUGGUGGGGGAAGCAGCCGAGAGAAGUCGGUAGCCCAGUUUUCCAGUCAUGCCAAGACAGGAAGAGGAGGACUAGCUACCGAGAUUCCCUUGAGAGUGGAGAAAGAGGAAGAGAAUCCUGAUGGGAGAAUCCUGAUGGGAGGAUUAGCCCAACCCCAAGAUCACUAUAUGGGUAUUGUAAUUGGGGAAACAGAAAGCUGACAGAAGAUUAAAGCUUUGUGUGAAAUAAAGGGUCUUUCUGAUCCGUCCUGAGUAGGAGG
RNAcentral lists this long non-coding RNA (574 nucleotides) under Struthio camelus australis. RNAcentral describes it as "lncRNA (ENSSCUG00000001791.1)". Lineage: Eukaryota; Metazoa; Chordata; Aves; Struthioniformes; Struthionidae. The record is from RNAcentral.